GCACAACAGAUGCUCAAAGGCGGAUGACAGAAGCCGGCCUGCCACCCUCCAUUUGGACAGCAAGGCCCCGAGAGGGGUUCACCUGGGAGCUUGAGUUUCUGGUCAUCUCAUAAUCUGGCCAGAGCCUCCCUCGAUCCUGCCUCUAGGUCCACUCGCUCCAAGGCCAAGUGGGUGCGGAGCAUAGCGGAGGCCACAGCUCACUUGGAGAGGUAGCCCUGCGGAAAACUGUGACUGUUUGCAGCCGAAGGAAGAUGCAAGAAACCCACACACACAGCGCGGUGGCUUUGGGGAUGACUAAAUUCAACUGAGAGAUGUGAAGUCCGCAAAAUCUACCCAACAGGAGAACUCUGGGCGCCGUGGACUCGGGAGGGGCCACCAGGACACUGGCUGACUGUCCCUAAGGGGUCCCAGGCCCCCCACCCUUUGAGGCCCAGAGCAGACACCCUCACUGGGGUGGCUGAGUCACUCCCAGUGCAGACGGGACCAGAGACCAGAGGGACACGCAGACGGCAGACGUUUAUCCACCAGGAGAAAGACACCCCGUGGGCAGAGCCCGUUCAUCGGCACCAAGUGCUGGGUCUCCAGGCCCCCAGCACAAAGCCACCCCGCCUGUUCACUGCAGCAUCUUCAGCAGCCAUUAGAGGGCCUUCCUGAGCCAGGGCCUGGAGCCCAGCCGUGGGGUCAGGGUUUAAGAAGACCUUAGGAAAAAAAAAAAAAAGAAGCCCUUAGGAAACCCUUCAGUACCUCAGCUGAUUAAUUAAAUUAAUUCUGAUCUUCCAUGUUUCCUGCAAAGCUGUCAAUGGAUAAAGGCAGAGAGCCGGGCAUUUUGCUCUGGAGGAACGACAGCAAGGCCGGGUCUGCCACUGCUCUGUGCCCACUCUGCGUGAGCUCCUUCACUUGCUCUGGCCCCUAGAAUCCUCCUGAACCCAUCUCACAGAUGACGAACCUGAGGCAAAGAUGGCUCACAGGGCCACACAGCCAGGAGGGGGCCAAGCUGAGCCAGAAAAGCAAAAACUGAGCCAGAGCUUCCUGAACCUGUCCUUGGAGACGGUCUCAACCCCUGAAGAGUCUUUGCCCAGGAGCUUUGGAACCUGUUCCGGUGCUUCCGUCCUAGAACCACACCUGCCCUGGCCCCCAGCCUCGCCCCGCGCACCCUCCGGCACGGCCUAACACUCCAGAAGGUCUACACAGCAGGUGCCUCGGCCCACCCUCACCUCACUCACCCUGUGACACCGUGAGCUCCAGCCUUGCUCCCCACCCCACCUGGGGUCCAAAUAGCCUCCCAUCACUGAAUUCAUCAGAUUCCAGGGUGAGAACAUUUACGACCCUUUUUUUUUUUACCUGCUGGUGUUUCUAAAUUUUCCAAACCCAACCUGUCUUGUGUAAGAACUUAUAAAAGCUGUGCAAAAUAAAAACUCU
Balaenoptera musculus (blue whale) is the source of this 1419-nucleotide long non-coding RNA. RefSeq lists it as uncharacterized. Lineage: Eukaryota; Metazoa; Chordata; Mammalia; Artiodactyla; Balaenopteridae. The transcript has 3 exons. The record is from RefSeq and is a predicted model, not a curated record.